This 253-nucleotide ribosomal RNA is filed under the name uncultured bacterium. Its description in RNAcentral is "partial 16S ribosomal RNA". It matches the Rfam family "Bacterial small subunit ribosomal RNA", at positions 524 to 776 of the family's 1533-position model. The record is from RNAcentral.
UACGUAGGGUGCAAGCGUUGUCCGGAAUUAUUGGGCGUAAAGAGCUCGUAGGCGGUCUGUUGCGUCGGCUGUGAAAACCCGGGGCUCAACCCCGGGCCUGCAGCCGAUACGGGCAGGCUAGAGUUCGGUAGGGGAGACUGGAAUUCCUGGUGUAGCGGUGAAAUGCGCAGAUAUCAGGAGGAACACCGGUGGCGAAGGCGGGUCUCUGGGCCGAUACUGACGCUGAGGAGCGAAAGCGUGGGGAGCGAACAGG